CGUUUUCAUUCGUUAGCGAUAAGUUGAUAAGAACUCAAUCGAUAAUGCUUAGUCAUAUAAUUAUAUAAGUUUGAUGCGUAAAUAUGGUACAGAGUUCAUAAGAACAUGACAGUACAACUCAUUAGAAACACUCUUGUGACCCAGAAUUUUAGAAAAUUUCAAUGUUAAACACAUCAACUUCACUUUUCCUUCGACUUUCUAAAUUAUCAACUAAGCAUAUUGUUAUUCUAAAAGAUAGUCGCAUUUGCUUGACAACAAUUUCAAACAGAAUGGUAGAUAUAACUUUUAAAGGGCAUGGCGAUCGUUAUGACGGAAUAACAGUCGAUUCUGAUGUGGAACCAUGUCAACUACCUGCAUUUCUAAAACGUCUCCAAGCAUCCCUUGAACAAUGGAAAAAAGAAAAGAAACGCACUAUAUGGUUUCGAAUCAGUUUACCGUAUGCUUCUUGGAUUCCUAUUCUCACUGAGAAUGGAUUCAAGUUCCAUAAUGCAAGAGAGCACCAUGUCACUCUCUAUCGAUGGCUUUCUGAUGAUGAAUUUUGUAAUGUACCUCCUUAUGCACAUACAUUACUUGGUGUCGGAGCUUUUGUUUAUAGAGAGAAUACCAAUGAAGUCCUAGUUAUUAAAGAGAGACACUCUCCUAUUGUUACCUUGUGGAAACUUCCUGGUGGAUAUCUUGAACCAGGGGAAAACAUUUCGGAUGCUGCUGUAAGAGAAAUACUCGAAGAAACUGGAAUUCAGGCAGAGUUUAAAAGUCUCGUAACUUUUAGACAUGGUCACAAGUAUGCUUUUGGAUGUUCUGAUAUUUAUAUGAUAGCAUACAUGGUUCCACAGACUUUUGAAAUUCAAAAAUGCAAUCAAGAAAUUUCUGAAUGUAUUUGGAUGAAAUUGAAUGAGUAUGCAGAACAUCCUGAAGUACAUGAAAAUAAUAAGGAAUUUGCAAGACAUUUUAUCGAUUUUCUUAAUCACCGAAAAAGUAUAGUUGUAUCAUACGAAAGGCAUCCCCUCAGCAAGGAGCCAAUAUGUGUCUACAGUAUAUCUACGAUUCCUAAUAAAUACAGGACCCCAAAAAUGGAGCUAAAACCAUCCUACAAAGCGCACAUACAAAAUAGAUGGAUCGAUAUGCAUAUGAAUGUGCGCACUGGCUAUACUUCAUUCACACCUCGCUUUAAUUUCUCACUAAGAUUAUUUUUUAGCAACGAUUUGACAUUGCGUGGACACGGUUAAUAGUGCAACUUGACUUAUUUAAAGAAGGGGAAAAAAUAAUAUAGAAGGAUAGAUCGACGAUUUCUUAGAAGGCCAAUGGACGGCACCUACUCUAUAGACGUACUUCUCUUCAUAAAUCUAAUAGCUUCUCGCAAAUCGCAAAUUGUUUAUCGUUAAUCGAUAAUACAUCAACUGAAGGACUAUCGGUAAUUAAAGCGCAGCAGGAUCCUUAUGGUGUUCAUGUUUAAGUUAAAUCCUCAUCCUCCUCAUCCUCAUCUCUUGAACCUCCUGUAGGACAGCACAGUCCUUCCGUGCCGUCGCUUCGUAUACAGAAGAGCAGAGUCUCUGCAGGUGUC
Cephus cinctus (wheat stem sawfly) is the source of this 1561-nucleotide RNA transcript. It is a transcript of the gene named nudix hydrolase 7, with no coding region annotated. NCBI's taxonomy places the organism in Eukaryota, Metazoa, Arthropoda, Insecta, Hymenoptera, Cephidae. The transcript has 7 exons. The record is from RefSeq and is a predicted model, not a curated record.